GGGUGAGUAACGCGUGGGAAUCUACCGUGCCCUACGGAAUAGCUCCGGGAAACUGGAAUUAAUACCGUAUACGCCCUACGGGGGAAAGAUUUAUCGGGGUAUGAUGAGCCCGCGUUGGAUUAGCUAGUUGGUGGGGUAAAGGCCUACCAAGGCGACGAUCCAUAUCUGGUCUGAGAGGAUGAACAGCCACAUUGGGACUGAAACACGGCCCAAACUCCUACGGGAGGCAGCAGUGGGGAAUAUUGGACAAUGGGCGCAAGCCUGAUCCAGCCAUGCCGCGUGAGUGAUGAAGGUCUUAGGAUUGUAAAGCUCUUUCACCGGUGAAGAUAAUGACGGUAACCGGAAAAGAAGCCCCGGCUAACUUCGUGCCAGCAGCCGCGGUAAUACGAGGGGGGCUAGCGUUGUUCGGAAUUUUUGUUUCGUAAAGCGCACGUAGGCCCAUAUUUUUUUUUUGGGGUGAAAU
Molecule: ribosomal RNA, 463 nt
Filed under: Peteryoungia aggregata
Lineage: Bacteria; Pseudomonadati; Pseudomonadota; Alphaproteobacteria; Hyphomicrobiales; Rhizobiaceae
Description: Rhizobium aggregatum partial 16S ribosomal RNA
Rfam family: Bacterial small subunit ribosomal RNA
Source: RNAcentral